AAUGAACUUCACCAGCCCGCCAGAUUAUUACAAGCGAAAGCCUAAAACUCAAAGGACUUGACGGUGUCCCACAUUCAACCUAGAGGAGCCUGUCCUAUAAUCGAUGAUCCACGAUUCACCUCACCAUUUUUUGCCAAACAGCCUAUAUACCGCCGUCACAAGUUCACCUUUUGAAAGGAAAAGAGUGAACAAAAUARCCCAGUGCUAGUAUGUCAGGUCAAGGUGUAGCUAAUAAACUGGUUUGAGAUGGGCUACAUUUCCUUUGUAAAGGAAACACGAACGGUCUUAUGAAAACCCACCAGAAGGAGGAUUUAGUAGUAAAGUGGGAUUAGCAAGCCUGCUUGAAUAYACUGCCCUGGGACRCGUACACACCGCCCGUCACCCUCA
Molecule: ribosomal RNA, 387 nt
Filed under: Xerotyphlops vermicularis (Eurasian blind snake)
Lineage: Eukaryota; Metazoa; Chordata; Lepidosauria; Squamata; Typhlopidae
Description: partial 12S ribosomal RNA
Rfam family: Bacterial small subunit ribosomal RNA
Source: RNAcentral